This 496-nucleotide ribosomal RNA is filed under the name uncultured bacterium. RNAcentral describes it as "partial 16S ribosomal RNA". It matches the Rfam family "Bacterial small subunit ribosomal RNA", at positions 29 to 507 of the family's 1533-position model. The record is from RNAcentral.
AUGAACGCUGGCGGCGUGCCUAAUACGUGCAAGUCGAGCGCACAGAUGAGGAGCUUGCUCCUCUGACGUUAGCGGCGGACGGGUGAGUAACACGUGGAUAACCUACCUAUAAGACUGGGAUAACUUCGGGAAACCGGAGCUAAUACCGGAUAAUAUAUUGAACCGCAUGGUUCAAUAGUGAAAGACGGUUUUGCUGUCACUUAUAGAUGGAUCCGCGCCGCAUUAGCUAGUUGGUAAGGUAACGGCUUACCAAGGCAACGAUGCGUAGCCGACCUGAGAGGGUGAUCGGCCACACUGGAACUGAGACACGGUCCAGACUCCUACGGGAGGCAGCAGUAGGGAAUCUUCCGCAAUGGGCGAAAGCCUGACGGAGCAACGCCGCGUGAGUGAUGAAGGUCUUCGGAUCGUAAAACUCUGUUAUUAGGGAAGAACAAAUGUGUAAGUAACUAUGCACGUCUUGACGGUACCUAAUCAGAAAGCCACGGCUAACUACGUG